UUGUUGGUGGACUUGAUUUAUGUGAUGGACGAUAUGAUACUCCACAUCAUCCUUUAUUUAGGACACUGCAAACUGUGCAUAAGGAUGACUAUCACAACCCUACUUUCACGGGUAAUAACGUUUCNNAAGAGAACCAUGGCAUGAUUUGCACUGUAGAAUUGAUGGUCCAGCAGCAUAUGACGUUCUAGCCAACUUUGAGGAGCGCUGGUUCAAGGCU
RNAcentral lists this unclassified non-coding RNA (217 nucleotides) under Hevea brasiliensis (rubber tree). The record is from RNAcentral. Lineage: Eukaryota; Viridiplantae; Streptophyta; Magnoliopsida; Malpighiales; Euphorbiaceae.